Molecule: small nucleolar RNA, 312 nt
Filed under: Calidris pygmaea (Spoon-billed sandpiper)
Lineage: Eukaryota; Metazoa; Chordata; Aves; Charadriiformes; Scolopacidae
Description: Small Cajal body-specific RNA 7 (ENSCPGG00000002756.1)
Rfam family: Small Cajal body-specific RNA 7
Source: Rfam by way of RNAcentral
UGGAAGUGAUGAAAUAGAGAUAAUUGGAUGUGUCUUUGAAUGAGUGUGUGUGAUAAACGGAAUUUAAACCAAGUGGGGUGGGGUGUGGGGAGUGUGUGUGUGUGUGUGCAUGUAUAGAGGAGGCUUCAAACGGGGGCACUGACAAUGCAGUGCUGAUUCCGGAGUGCAUCUGAGGCAUGUUGUUAAAUUCUGGGGUGCCACAUUGCAACAUUGCCGAUGAUUAAAGCCCAAAAGAAGCCCACCAAGAGAAGCCUGGGCAUCCUAAAUCUCUAACAGGUUCAUUAAUGAAAAUGAUCCUGUGAUCUGAUCUGA